UUUUUGUAAUAGAUCUAUAUGUUAUAAACUUAUCUAUUGAAUGUGAAAAACGCAUCUGGAAAAUCGAAGAUAGUAAUUUUUGAUAAGUUUGAGACAUGAUUAUUUGUAAUGACCUUGGUAUUGCUUCUUUAAAAAUUUGCAAUGGAACGUUUUGUUUGCUUCCUUGUUCUAUUUUCUGUCACAAAGGCGGCAGUUACUCCGAAUCUUUGUUGCUCAAAACAUUCAUUAACAGCUGAUCUUCACCAGGUCACUGGAUCAUACGUUAAUGGUACUCCUUCUACCCUGGAGGU
Molecule: long non-coding RNA, 290 nt
Filed under: Mytilus galloprovincialis (Mediterranean mussel)
Lineage: Eukaryota; Metazoa; Mollusca; Bivalvia; Mytilida; Mytilidae
Source: RNAcentral